This 28-nucleotide small RNA is filed under the name Bombyx mori (domestic silkworm). RNAcentral describes it as "ovarian small RNA-8039". Lineage: Eukaryota; Metazoa; Arthropoda; Insecta; Lepidoptera; Bombycidae. The record is from RNAcentral.
UGACAAGAUGGGCAUUGCUUAAUAUAGU